UCUUUCUGUCUCAAAUAAAUAAAUAAAAUCUUCAGAUCUCUUUUUGUGGGAAGAAAAAUGAAAGACAUGCUGGGAGAUGCAUUUUUUCUCUCCUGUGGGGCACAGCCAGGUGGCAGACUGAGGAAGUUAUCAGCUCAACAUAAAACGUCUGAGUUAUGGAGAGUGUAGAUCUUAAAUAUCUGCAUCACACAAAAGGAAAUGGAAAGCCACAAUACAGGCUUGAGACUACAUAGUCGGGAGCAGAAUCUACACUGGACCCUGGAUGGAGGCCCACAGACAGUCAGCGCCUGCUCCUGGGUAUCGACACCACUGACUCCCCUGAGGGAGGCCACUGGACCCUGCAGCUGGGACUGCUAUCACUCUGCCUCCUGACAGUUUAAUGACAUGACUGUGACACUGCUCAGACCCCCUGUCCCUAAUGCACAGAUGCUGUCCCAGUGUGCCUGUCACAUGUCCAGAGUCAGAGUCUGGCAGGUGGCCACAUGACUGUUGAAGCUUCAUGUCAUGUCCCAGUCCUGGACUGUUUAGCAAAGUGGGUUCUCCUCUCUGUGGAUGGAGGUGUCUGUGCCCCCAACAAGAUUGUCGAUGUGUGGCAUUCCUAUAUGUGGGAAGAGAGGUACAAGUUCUGGGAAUGGACUUUGGGGUUCAGGAAUGGAAAAGAAUGACAGAUUUCCACAUUUGGAGCCAUGAUCUGAGACUAGAACUUGAUCUG
This is a long non-coding RNA of Mustela erminea (ermine), 712 nucleotides long. RefSeq lists it as uncharacterized. Lineage: Eukaryota; Metazoa; Chordata; Mammalia; Carnivora; Mustelidae. The transcript has 2 exons. The record is from RefSeq and is a predicted model, not a curated record.